CAAUGGGCGCAAGCCUGAUGCAGCGACGCCGCGUGAGGGAUGGAGGCCUUCGGGUUGUAAACCUCUUUUGUUAGGGAGCAAGGCACUUUGUGUUGAGUGUACCUUUCGAAUAAGCACCGGCUAACUACGUGCCAGCAGCCGCGGUAAUACGUAGGGUGCAAGCGUUAUCCGGAAUUAUUGGGCGUAAAGGGCUCGUAGGCGGUUCGUCGCGUCCGGUGUGAAAGUCCAUCGCUUAACGGUGGAUCCGCGCCGGGUACGGGCGGGCUUGAGUGCGGUAGGGGAGACUGGAAUUCCCGGUGUAACGGUGGAAUGUGUAGAUAUCGGGAAGAACACCAAUGGCGAAGGCAGGUCUCUGGGCCGUUACUGACGCUGAGGAGCGAAAGCGUGGGGAGCGAACAGGAUUAGAUACCCUGGUAGUCCACGCCGUAAACGGUGGAUGCUGGAUGUGGGGCCCGUUCCACGGGUUCCGUGUCGGAGCUAACGCGUUAAGCAUCCCGCCUGGGGAGUACGGCCGCAAGGCUAAAACUCAAAGAAAUUGACGGGGGCCCGCACAAGCGGCGGAGCAUGCGGAUUAAUUCGAUGCAACGCGAAGAACCUUACCUGGGCUUGACAUGUUCCCGACGAUCCCAGAGAUGGGGUUUCCCUUCGGGGCGGGUUCACAGGUGGUGCAUGGUCGUCGUCAGCUCGUGUCGUGAGAUGUUGGGUUAAGUCCCGCAACGAGCGCAACCCUCGCCCCGUGUUGCCAGCGGAUUAUGCCGGGAACUCACGGGGGACCGCCGGGGUUAACUCGGAGGAAGGUGGGGAUGACGUCAGAUCAUCAUGCCCCUUACGUCCAGGGCUUCACGCAUGCUACAAUGGCCGGUACAACGGGAUGCGACAGUGCGAGCUGGAGCGGAUCCCUGAAAACCGGUCUCAGUUCGGAUCGCAGUCUGCAACUCGACUGCGUGAAGGCGGAGUCGCUAGUAAUCGCGAAUCAGCAACGUCGCGGUGAAUGCGUUCCCGGGCCUUGUACACACCGCCCGUCAAGUCAUGAAAGUGGGCAGCACCCGAAGCCGGUGGCCUAAC
Molecule: ribosomal RNA, 1065 nt
Filed under: human gut metagenome
Description: bacterial SSU rRNA
Rfam family: Bacterial small subunit ribosomal RNA
Source: RNAcentral